RNAcentral lists this ribosomal RNA (564 nucleotides) under uncultured bacterium. RNAcentral describes it as "bacterial SSU rRNA". It matches the Rfam family "Bacterial small subunit ribosomal RNA", at positions 364 to 917 of the family's 1533-position model. The record is from RNAcentral.
UUCCGCAUGGNCGGAAACCCUGNCGGNANCGACGCCGCGUGGGCGAUGAAGGCCGGAAGGUUGUAAAGCCCUUUUCUUGGCGAAGAAUAAGGCUGGGGAUGGACUACCCAGUCGAUGACGUUAGCCGAGGAAUAAGCCCCGGCCAAUUACGUGCCAGCAGCCGCGGUAACACGUAUGGGGCGAGCGUUGUUCGGAGUUAUUGGGCGUAAAGGGCGUGUAGGCGGCUCUCGCAAGCUUGGUGUUAAAGGUUUCGGCCUAACCGGAACAGUGCGCUGAGAACUGCGGAGCUUGAGUCUAGGAGGGGGAGUUGGAAUUCCAGGUGUAGGGGUGAAAUCUGUAGAUAUCUGGAAGAACACCGGUGGCGAAGGCGAACUCCUGGCCAUAGACUGACGCUGAGGCGCGAAAGCGUGGGGAGCAAACAGGAUUAGAUACCCUGGUAGUCCACGCUGUAAACGAUGUGCACUAGGCGUUGGGGGCUUUCAGCCCUCGGUGCCGUAGCUAACGCGUUAAGUGCACCGCCUGGGGAGUAUGCCCGCAAGGGUGAAACUCAAAGAAAUUGACGGA